RNAcentral lists this ribosomal RNA (301 nucleotides) under uncultured bacterium. RNAcentral describes it as "partial 16S ribosomal RNA". It matches the Rfam family "Bacterial small subunit ribosomal RNA", at positions 509 to 807 of the family's 1533-position model. The record is from RNAcentral.
CAGCAGCCGCGGGAAAACAGAGGGUGCAAGCGUUAAUCGGAAUUACUGGGCGUAAAGCGCGCGUAGGUGGUUUGUUAAGUUGGAUGUGAAAUCCCCGGGCUCAACCUGGGAACUGCAUUCAAAACUGACUGACUAGAGUAUGGUAGAGGGUGGUGGAAUUUCCUGUGUAGCGGUGAAAUGCGUAGAUAUAGGAAGGAACACCAGUGGCGAAGGCGACCACCUGGACUGAUACUGACACUGAGGUGCGAAAGCGUGGGGAGCAAACAGGAUUAGAUACCCCGGUAGUCCCUGUCUCUUAUAC